RNAcentral lists this long non-coding RNA (17037 nucleotides) under Solanum lycopersicum (tomato). Its description in RNAcentral is "long non-coding RNA (SLYC_LNC000691)". The record is from RNAcentral. Lineage: Eukaryota; Viridiplantae; Streptophyta; Magnoliopsida; Solanales; Solanaceae.
UUGAAUCCAAAGCUAAAAAAAAAAAAAAAAAAAAAAAAAAAAAAAAAAAGUCUGUCGCUAAUCCUAUUUAAUAACGAAUUCACGAUUGAAAAAUUAUAUAACUAUGAUGUGCUAUGAAGAGACAGAUAAAAAAAAGUGUUUUCUACCGGCUAUUUAGAGAUGGAUUAGUGAUUCAUUUUGUAUUAAAGGAAAUUUUUCGUUUGAAAAAUGUUUUCUAGAAAAAUAAGUGGAUAUUUAUUUUUAUUUUCUCGUCUUUGGUUGAUUAGCAAACAAUAUUUCCUAAAAUUAUUUGUAAAUGAUAUUUUAAACAAAUACUAUAUAUGGUGGGAGUGAGGUGUAAAACCAUUUGUGAAAUUUGUUUUCCUUACUUUCAUUAGAAAAAUUAAUUUUCUUUUUCUUUAAAGAGUUCUUUUUGGCAUAAAAAAUAUUUUUAAAAUUAUUUGACCACUCGAAUAUGAUAAAACCCGAAAAAGGUUUCUUUAAUCAAGCUUUAUGCAUUAAUCAUAAUUGAUCUCAAUUUUCUUUAUAACUUUGUGUUUGCUUAAUAGAUUCAUGAAUUUGCUUAACCGUACUACGUGAUGCAAAUAUAACAAAUCAUUAUUAAUUUGUAAAUAACAUAUAAUAUAAACAGGUGAAUAAUGCGGCAAUUCUUGGAGUGCUUUUAGAUAAAGAUUUCAUUAUAAACCCACAAGUAAGUCACUAUAUAUCACAUGGAUUUCUCAUUUUUUUUUUAUUUAUUUUUUCGCCCUACGAGCUCCCAAUUUUUUACUCCCUUUGAUAUAACUCAAACUCAGCACCCUCUUGUCAUCGCGUCCAUUCUUUCGUUCGUUUAUAUUAUCAAUUUUUCUAGCUUUCACUUUCUUUAAAAAAAAAAAUCAAUUUUAUGGUUGUGUAAAUUUUUUUGAGUACAUUUGAAAUGAAAUAACGUUGUGAUGGUCAUGUUGUAGCAAAAUUUAUUCAUUGAGAAGAUGAAAGUAGCAACUCAAACUAUUGAUAUAGGUGAAGAAUGCAUAAAAACAAAUUACUAUGGUGCAAAAUGGAUGAUACAAGAAUUAUUACCUCUACUUCAAUUAUCCGAUUCGCCACGUAUUGUCAAUGUCUCCUCCUCUACUGGAAAGCUCCAAGUACGUACAUAUUUUAUCCAAUCGUUAUAUUAUGAACAUCUAUUUUUAAUACAGUAACUGACACGAUGUUUUGUUUCAGCAUGUACGCAAUGAAUGGGCUAUAGGAGUCUUGAAUGAUUGUGACAAUCUAACAGAAGACAAAGUGGAUGAGGUUUUGAAUGUUUUUCUCAAAGAUUUCAAAGAGGAUUUGUUAGAAAGCAAAAAUUGGCCUCUAAUAGUAUCUGCUUAUACACUAUCAAAAGCAGCAUUAAAUGGUUACACAAGAAUAUUGGCUAAGAAAUAUCCAAAUUUUCUCAUAAAUUGUGUUUGUCCAGGUUAUGUAAAAACUGAUUUAUGUUACAAUUCUGGCAUAUUGACUGUUGAAGAGGGUGCUCAAAGUCCUGUUUGGCUUGCUCUUUUACCUCAAGGAGGUCCAUCAGGGAACUUCUACAAUAGGAAAAAUCUCUCACCUUUCUAAUGAAAUUAAGAAAUCUUGAUCACAGCUAUGUUGCUCGAAUUUUUCAAAAAAUGUUAUUGUAUUUGUGUUGGAUUUUCAGUAAACAUAUAAUACAUAGUUUGCAGAGAAUUCGACCAUAUUAUAGGUUCAUGGACAAAGUUCCUAUUAUAAGGUAUAAAUUGUAAAUUGUAAUACAUAAGUUAAUAAUUAUUGGAUUAUCGUCUAUGGCAUAUGGCUUGAUUUUGCAAAUGUUUGGCUUAUUGUAUUUUUUUUAAAAAAAAUGGAUAUAUAACAUAUUAUAUAAAAUUUUAUAAUCUUACCCUUAUAUUUGAAGUAAAUAAAAAAUAUAGAAUGAUGUACGAUAUCUUUAUAUUUUGACUCAGUUUGUCAGUUGGAUUUUUAUAUAUAUCUUUGUCAAUUAAACAUUUAAACUCACUAAAAUGCAAUACUGUAAGCCCUUUCUUAUUUUAUAUGUGUGAGUGUAACACAGCCGCUCACACAUGAAAUUGUACAUUAUUUUAUGAAAUUUCAUGUCAUUUUGAAUGCCACAUAAGAAAUUAAAUAUCACCUAAAUUUCAAUCAUUCAAAAAUAAAAUUCAAAAACCUAAAUGUUAGAAGUGUAUAAAUCGACUAAGAUUCAUAAAGAAGAAUUUGAAUUACAAAAAUUAAAGAAACUAAAAUGAUUUGGGAUAAAGUGAUUUGGUUGGGUGAGGGGUGGGGGUGUGAGUGAAGAAGAAGGAGAAGAAGGGAGUGGUGUAGGGUGGUGUGGUGCGGGGCUGUAGGAAGAAGGAGAGGGUGGGGGGCACAAGGAAGAAAAAAGUCAUGGGCGAGGGAGGGGUGAGAUAGUGGCUGAAGGGUUGAGAACUUUUCGUAAAAUGGAAAGACUAGUUUUGUAAAUAAAUAAAAUUAAAAAGAAAAUUUGAUUUGUGGUGGCGUCAGCCGUCACGUAUGCAAGCAUAAGGUAUUCAGUAAUAUUAUUGCUACAUAAGCUCAGUUAAUGGUUAUAUGUGUUCAAGAUAUUAUGUUUUAGUAAGUUUAAGGAUUCAGUUGAUGAAAUAGUGAGUAUAAGAGUUCAACUGACAAAUGAACCCAAGUACAAAAACCUCUUAGACUAUUCCGCCAAUACAGAAUAUCUGAACAUCGUUUCAGUUUCACAACUGUUUUUAUGAAAUCGCAGCCCGCUAGGGCGACCUCCUUAUGCAUGGACAUAGAGACAACUAAAGGAACACGAAAAAGAAGUCCCUUUAGUUGCCGGGUCUGUUCAAACAGACCCCGCCAAGAGAAUUUUUAUGUUCUUUCGACCGCACUAAAAAAAUGCAUUAUUAUUUUCAUAAUAGUGUUAAUACAAAAAAUAGAAAAGAUGAUCCCAGUAAAGUUAAUUCAUGGUUGUUGUUUUUUUAAUGAAAUGAAAGAGUAUUUGAAACAAUUUGAUUUGGACUUGAAGGGGAAAGGAGUUUUGCUUUUUUAGAAAAAAAAGAUAUGUUUGGUAUAGAAAAAAUUUCAACUUUCUCAGGUUUAGUUUAGUUAAAUUUUUGGAGAAUUUUUUAAGUUUCUUAAAGUGGAGAAAUGUGACUUCUAUAGGGGAAGUAGAGAAAAAUUUCACAAGUGUCAUUUCAUAUUAACUGCAUUUUCUCCGACAUUCAACACAUCUCAUGUCCAUUCCUAUUUUCACCAUACCACAUUUUAUCUCCGACAAUGUUAAUUGAGAUUAUACACAAUAUUAUAUAUAUAUUUAUGUGAAUGUCCAUAAAUUCAGGUGUAAUUAACCAUAACGUAUAGCAACUCCUACUACCUCCUUAACUUUCCCCCUUUAAUAUUCCUUCAUUACUUGGAUGGUUAAUGUCACGUUUAUAACUAACUUUUUGUAUGCCUCUAAUAUUAUAAAUAGAGACAUAAGGUUCAUAUUAGAUAUUUGAAAGAGUAAGAAAAAUUUUCAUUGUCUCUCUAUGUCUAUUGCUCUCAUCUUUUAUAUUUCUCAUUCUGUUUUGUUUUAAUUUUUCAAUAUAAAUAAUUUUAAGAUAAUAUUUUUUUCAAAAAAAAAAGAGACUUGUAUGCUCGAAGAACUCAUGGCUGGCAUUAGGCCCAAUAAAAAGACUUGUAUGGGCCAAGAACUUAUGGCCGGCAUUGGGCCUAAUUUUCCAUGAUGGUGCAAAAAGUGGACUGGGCUCUAAGUUCAAUAAUAGUGGUUCAGUGUCAAAUUAGUACACUGUUUCAAAAAACGUUUUUGGGUGAGUCCUGAAGCGAGCACACCAAAAAUAUUUUGAUACAUAAAUUAAAGACGUAGAUUCAUAAGGUAUAAGCCUUAAAAUUUAAGGCGUAAUAGUAUAUCCAGGCAUUUUUAAUUUAUUUUUAAAUUCUGUUUUUGCUUUAAAUUAUAUUUUUAUUAUUGGUGUAACGAUUUUUCUCAAAUAGUAAUUAUUAUACUUUUUUCUAUAUUAUUUAUUAUGAAUACUUAUCUCAAAAUAAAAAUCAUGAAUCAUGAAAAGGUUUACUUUUACUUAUUUUCUUAGUAAUAAAACUACUGAACAUACAUGAGACUUACUGUUUCUCGAGGCUUACACAUCGCUUUUUACUAUAAAACGUCGUGCCUAUGCCUUCGCCUUUUGAUACACUCUAUUAUUUCACUAUAAUUCAUUAAUAUUAUAUAUUUUUAAAUCAUGUUAAAUCACUUGACAAAUAUAAAUUAAAUGAAUUAGUUUAUAGAUACCGAUAAGUAUUUACCUUCUUUUCUUUUACGACUAUACGCCAAAAACUUUUGUAUCAAAAAUAUAAACUCUCACCUAUAUAUACUUCAUUAUUUAUUAAUGAAAAUACUACUACAUAGUUUUUCUCACAUUUAAACGCAAAAACACUUCAUACUGUGGCUGAAGCUUCCAACUUCCUAGCAACUCAAAAAAUCUACUUUCAAUUUUAUGGUGCUGAGUCUCACAUUUGUGGGAUGAGAUAGACUUGAGUAUCCUCCUCUCGUCAUGAGCCAGCUUUUGAGGUUAAGUUAAAUUAAAUAUUGUUGGAUUAUCUAUUGAAUAUCUUGUUUUUGUAAUCAAAAUAUUUAGAAAACAUAUUUUUCUUAGGAAAGUGCAUGACUUUUCAAUUGAAAGUGUUAAAAAAAAAGUUCCACUAUUAACAUUUCAUAUUGAUCUUCUAUCAAUAAUUAUUCAGUCAAUAUGAGUCGAUUGGAAGACUAGGUUUAUAUCUGUUGUAUUUGUAUAAUUAAUUUUAUUAUUUCUAUUUCGAUUAUCUUAUUAUUUAUUAUUACUUUUAUUUAUUUUCUUACUUUGUUUGUUGCAUGAUUUAUUUAGUACUGUAUACCUGUAUAUGCUUAGGAAAUAGAGCCAAAUAGAAACUGAACAAUCGAACUCCAGUGGACACUACUUGAGCCAUCAUUUUGCAAUAAUUAAGAAAAAUCUCAAAAUUAAGGUAAUUUAUUUAACACUACUUGAGCCAUCAUUUUGCAAUAAUUAAGAAAAAUCUCAAAAUUAAGGUAAUUUAUUUAACAUUUAAAUAUUAUCUUAUAUUUUAUCAUGACUAAUUUAUUAUUAUAUUUCUUUUCAAUACUUUUUAUUAUGCUUCUCUCAUCCUAAUUAAUAUCGAGACAAACUGCAUAUAUAUUAUUUUUUCAAAUUUCAUUCAAUACAUUAUCAUUAUUUACGUUUAUUUAUGACUUUCUGUCAACCUGCUUGUAGUUGGGAUUCGGUUGCGCUAGGGAACUUUUUGUAUAGUUUGUAAGUAAUAUUAAUAAACUAAAAUAAGAAGUAACUUUAUGAGUCCCACAUUACAAUCAUGAUUAUAAAAUAAAUUCUUUUGAUCUUAUUUAAAUAGGAAAAUGGUUAAAUAUGCCGCUAAACUAUUUAAAAAGAUUUAGAUAUACCUUUCGUUUAAAGUUUGAUUCACUCAUGCCCUCACCGUCCAACUUUUGGUCUGAAUAUGCCUUUAUGGGUUUUAGUUGCCAUGUUGGACAUAUCUUACUCAUUUUUUCAUUUGUUUAAAUGUCACAUGGAAUUGUCAUGUUAUUUUGACCUAAUCACACGACAUUUAUAUGAAAAUGAAAAGAUAUACGGACUCAUAAAAACCUAAUCCGACCCAUAAAUCAACUCGUUUUAAAUUUACUAUUUGACCCAUUUUUGACAAUUUUGCUUAGUUUUUAUUUUUUCGGUAAGUCCCGAAAAUGAGUAAUUGAUUUAAUAAAAAAUAGGAAAAAUACAAAAAAAGAAUUAACGCAAAAAAAAAAUUCACAAAUAAAUAUAGUAACCUUAAAUCUAACAUUUUAAUAUUUUUUUUAAAUUUUUUUAUUUUUUCGGUAAAUCUCAAAAAUGAAUAAUUUGAUUAAUAAAAUAAUAUGAAAAGUAUGAAAAAAAUAUAAAUUAACGCCAAAAGUUCACAAAUAAAUAUAAUAACAUUUCAUUCUACAAUUUUUUUAAAUUUUUUAUUUUUUUCGAUAAUCCCAAAAAUGAGCAAUUUAUUAAUAAAAAGGGGAAAAUAUGGAAACAAAAUAAAAAAUUUACGUCAAAAUUCACAAAUAAAUAUAGUAACCUUAAAUCAAUAAUUUCAACAGUUUUUUUUAUUUUAUAUUUAUUUCAUAUUUUCCUAUUUUUUAUUUUGUGAAUUUUUAUGUAAUUUUUAUAUUUUUUUCAUAUUUUUUUUGUUAAUAAACUCAUUUUGGGAUUUGCUGAAAAAAUUAAAAAUUAAAAAAAUAUUGAAAUUGUUGAAUUUAAUGUUAAUGUAUUUACUUUUUAAUUUAUGGCGUUAAUUUAUAUAUUUUUUUCAUAUUUUUUAUUAAUCAAUUACUCAUUUUCGGAAUUUAUCAGGAAAAAAAAUUAAAAAAAUGUUUAAAUUGAAUUUAAGGUUACUAUAAUUAUUUGUGAAUUUUUGGCGUUAAAUUUAUCUUUUUUCAUAUUCUUUCAAUUUUUUUAUUAAUCAAUUAUUCAUUUUUGGAAUUUAUUGAAAAAAUAAAAAUUAAUUAGUCGGAUAAUUUAUUUAAAAGUGGGUUGAUUUAUGGGUCGGAUUAGGUGUUUAUGAGUCCAAAUAUCUUUCCAUUUUCAUAUAAAUGUCAUGUGAUAAGGUAAAAAUGACAUGACAAUUUCAUGUGACAUUUAAAUAAAUGAAAAAUGAGUUGGAUAUGUCCAACAUGUCAACUAACGCCCAUAAGGGCAUAUUUGGACAAAAAAUUGAACGGCGAAGCCAUGAGUGAACCAAACUUUAAAUGGAGGAUAUAUUUAAAUCUUUUCGAAUAGAUUAGGGGUAUAUUUGACCAUUUUCCCUAUUUAAAAUGACAACUUCCUACAUUGAAACUAGACAAGAAUGUGAAAAGUAUCUUUAAAUUCCUAUCCAUCAUUUUCCCAACCUAUUAGAAAAAAAGUACUUGAAUACAAUGACUCUUUAUUUACCCUUUAUUUCAUUUUUGGACAUAAAUUUAUAAAGGAAUUGAAUUUUUUUUUUAAUGAAAAUCAAUCUAAGUUAAAUUUUAAUUCUUUACAAGAACCUUGUUUCAUUUUUUAAAAAAUAAUAAUAAAAAUACUUUACCAAAUUUCUGUUACCUAGAUAUCUACGUGGAUAUCCAUUUUGCCAUAUUUUUUCAGAUAUAUAAUAAGCUCACUGGAACAUAAUCCCAACAAAGCAAUUAGCUAAAAAGAUAACCAAAAUUAUUAUCGAUGGCAGAAGGCAGAGCAACAAAGUAAUUUACUAUACCCUAUUAUCUUAUCUGAUUUUAUGUGUUAUAUUUUCCUUUUAUUUGUUUACUUUAUCUUAUAGAGAAAAAAUAUAUAUAGAUGUUUCUAAGUUUCAAAUGAUUAAUUUUCAUUUUCUAUUUUAUCAUAACCAUAGGUUUUAAUAACUACAUAAGCAAUUUGAGUUGAUUCAAAUUAUGUCACAUAAAUUGAUGGAUAUGCGCGCAGGUAUGCAGUAGUUACAGGGGCAAAUAAAGGGAUUGGAUUUGAAAUAUGUAGACAGCUAGCUUCUAAUGGAGUGUUGGUAAUUUUGGGUGCUAGAAAUGAGAAGAGAGGGAUUGAAGCUUUGGAGAAACUUAAAGGCUUUGGUUUGGCUGAAAAUGUGGUGUUUCAUCAGCUUGAUGUUGUGGAUAAUUCUAGUAUUGAUUCUUUGGCUGAAUUUAUUAAGACAAAAUUUGGCAGGCUUGAUAUCUUGGUAUAAUGUUCUUGAUUUUAAGUUUCUUGUUUUAUGACCUAAACAAUAUUUGGUAAAAUAAGCUGUUGAUGUUUGUGGUGUUUUUUUAUUAGGUGAACAAUGCAGGAAUAGCUGGAGUCAGUGCUGAUGCUGAUGCCUUAAGAGCUAAACGAGAGUCCAGUGGGGUAACCCCUUAUAACUUGAAUCAAUUACUCCAUCCGUUUCAAUUUGUUGCGCUGGCUAUUUACUUUUGUUGCUGCACCUGUGUUGGGUUCUCCAAAAUUACACAACUUUUGGAGAAUCCAACUCGCACUCAUUAACAUUGUUAAGAGUUUGAGCAACCUAGCUUAGCUUAUGAUGGAGUUUAAGAAAAUAAAAAAGACUUUUGAAUCUUGUGGUCUUAAACUAAAGAUACUUAGAAGGUACCAAAAUGACAUUGAUCUUGUGGUUAAACAUGUCACAUGGAAAAUUAAAAUUAAAGAGCUGUCAAACUAUGAAAAAGAGCAAACACAUUGAAACGGAGGAAUAACUAUAUAUGUCUUAAUACAUAAUUGAUUGUUGUAUGACAAAUAUGAAGUGUAAUAUAGCAGUUUUGUUACCAUUUUCAUCAGGCUACUAAUUGAUGCUUAUCAUAGAUAUUUGCUUGUAACUUAGUGCCUAAUUGAUUGUGCAAGAAGUUAUCAAUUGAUGCUUAUUAUAGAGAUUUACUUGUAAUUAAACUUCCCUGUAAUUAUAGUUACCGUCAUUGCAUCAUAUCAUAAUGUAUGUUCUGUGACGCGUCUAAGAGAAUUCACAACCCCGAAAGUUUCUUAAUUAGGCACGCAAUACGCUCAAAGCAACUAUACCAGAUCUUUCAUUAUACUACAUGUUUGAUCAAUUUAUGUGCAACUUGAUUUGGAUUGAGGUUUCUGCUGUAGCCCUGUACAUAGUGAUCUAGAAACAGAACAGGUCCUGUUUAAUGAGUCUAUUAGGUUCAACAAUCAAGCAAAUCAGUAGCCAUAACUCUCGCUCGUUCUCUCUUUGUGGAAAAUUAAACUUUUGACACGUAACUUCAUCAUUAGCACGCUUUAUUAAUCUUUCUCUGUGCUAUAGACAGGAGGAUCUCAAGUCAAUUGGAAUGAAAUAUUGAGUCAGUCAUUUGAGUUGGCAAAGGAGUGUCUUGAGACAAACUAUUAUGGUGCGAAGAAAAUGACUGAAGCAUGUAUUCCACUCCUCCAAUUAUCUAAGUCGCCGAGGAUUGUGAAUGUAUCAUCCUCUAUGGGAAAGCUAAAGGUAUUAACCUGGCAACAUUUCUUCAGAGUUUUGUAAUUUUUCAGUUUACUGUGAUUUAACUUCUAGAUUUUUAUGUUUAUACAUGCUUGACUGGUGCAAAUGAUAUAUUCUGAAGUAAAAGUAUUGAUUAAAAGUUUGAAACUACUCAAAUCUGCAAUUGCGUACUAAAGAAAUGCCGUUAAAGCAAUUGAUCCAGGAAAAAACUUUUCAGAUGUGGAUAGGAGGACCAGAACAUGUUUACUAAGCCUUAAUCCGACAUCCGGAGGAUAAAAAUUAUGAAGGAAAUGUUUGUCUGCGGAACACUUAACAAUCCCAGCAAACUUAAUAUGUAUAUCUUAAAUGAUUAAGGUUCUUUAUCAGCAAAUUUGAUAAUUUCAAUUUUCUUGUAUGUUAAUUAGAUAAUAUCCAUGAGUAGUGAGUGAAAAUUUCUGUUUGCAUUUCCAGAACUUGAAACAUGAAUGGGCUACUGGAGUAUUAAAUGACAGCGAAAACCUGACAGAAGAGAAAAUAGAAGAGGUGAUAAAUCAAUAUCUGAAGGAUUUCAAAGAAGAUUCACUUCAAGCCAAAGGCUGGCCUUCUUUAAUGUCAGCUUACAUAGUCUCUAAAGCAGCAAUGAACGCUUACUCGAGGGUCAUGGCAAAGAAGCAUCCGUCUAUACAGAUCAAUUGUGUCUGUCCUGGUUUUGUGAAAACAGAUAUCAAUUUCAAUAGUGGGAUAUUGUCUAUUGAAGAAGGCGCGGAGAGUCCUGUAAGGCUUGCUCUACAGCCUGAUGACGGUCCGUCUGGUUUGUUCUUUGAUCGAAAUGGAGUUUCAUCAUUCGAAUGAGAGUAUGUUGUUAAUUGUGAACGCGCAGCUGAUGAUAUAAGCUUAGAAUAACAUGUACUAUGAAUAAUCUUCAAUGAAAUGCAAUUGUGUGUUGUAUCAACAUUUUGUAUGGAUUAUUCAUAAUUCUGUUUUUAGCUCAUUUAUCAUUAUCAUAAUAUAUAAUAUAUUCGUCUAGUAUUUGAAAAUUUUUAUAUAAUAUAUUCGUCUAGUAUUUCAAAAAUUUAGUCGAGUGAUACUAAUACUGAACGAUCCAGAUCAAAAUGUAUUAGAAAAAAAGAUUUUUUUAAGACGACCAUGGAGGAGAUGCUGUAAUUGUUGAGUUGUUUGAAUUCGAUUAUCAGAGAGAUAAUCCUUUUGAAAAUCAAAUUGAUAUGAAAAUUAUAAUGAAUUAUAGAGUGAAAUCAGGGAGAGACAAAAUGACUGAAAAAAAGAAGGGGAAUCGUGGGUUAAGGCGGGAGAAUGAAUCUGGCUCACUUGAGAUUUUGGAAAAAAUAAGGGAUCUUACAUUUUUUUUUUUUGAAUAGUAAGGAAUAAUGAAAAAUAAAGGUGUGUAUAUAGGUAAUUUAUCCAAAAACAAUAUCAUCUAACUUAUCUUAUCAUAACUAAUUUCACCAUAAUUUAUCUGGUCAUAAUUAAUCCCAUCAGAACUUGAACUCAAACAAAACAAUCCCUUAGUAUUUUAUGGUUAUCAAAGUAGGGAGAAUAGAGGUAGAAAAUUAUAUGUAAAAUAAAUUCAGGAUAAUAAAAUUUUAAUAUUAGUAUAAAUGUGUUUUUGAGAUUUUGAAUAUAGUUUAAAUAAGCUCACGUAUUUCAUUCCUUAUUACCAAAAUUCUUUUUUAUUAAUAAUAUAAAUAAUUAAUCUGUCCUAGAAAAUAAAUUAGCUUUUGUGUCUUCAUAUAAUUGGUCCUCUGAAGUCCAAUUCAAACAGGCCCAACCUUGACCGCUCCUAACGGAUAUCUAAAUCGAAUCUUGAGGUAUAUGUAUUACUUCAGAUUCACAUUUUUCACAAUAACGACUUUCUUCUUCUUCUUGUUUUCUUAAGGAAGAGGGUGAUGAAAAAUUGUUGAUUAAAGGGUUAAUUUUUCGAUAUUUUACAUUAGAAAGAGGAAAUGACGGUCAGUUUCGAGUGCGGUGACGAAGAGACAAGCAAUGGUGGCGAAUUCAUCUGGGUUGGAGAAAUAAUCAGGCCGAAAAAUUGAAUGCUGGAGCGUCCAAGAAACGACUGAAACUUUUUAACAUCUCGAAUUCAUACAACUGUAUCUGCUCGUAAUGCGAUUUCUCACUCCUCCAAAUUUGUGAGUGUUUCUCUGUUUUGGUCUCUGUUUAUUAAUGUAGGAAAACAAUUGAAUUAUACUGGGUUUUAUCUUCUUUUUUUGAUUACUGGUUAGAUAAUUCACUUUUUGUAUGAUGGGUAUGAGUUUUCUUGGUUAAAUUUUUGUAUGUAAGGGAAAUGUAGGUGGGUUUUGUGAUUUCUUUUUGGGGGUUUUCUUCUCGGUUCAUUAAAUAAGUAAAAUGGUUAAUGUUUCAUGAAAAAAUGAUUGCAGAUAGUGGUUAAGAAUUUAGUGAUAUGAGGGUUUUGCGGGAUUUUUUCUUUAUUUGGUCAGACUUAGUGAUAUUUGGAAUUUGAGUUCUUUGUUUAUUGACUUCCCUUGUAUAAAUAAGUUCACUAGCAGGGAAUGAUUUAGUUAUCAAGGGAUUUGUUUAAUCUUUUUUAUGGUUAAAGAGUAUUAUGAAUGAAAAAUUUGGAACAACUUCCCCCAAUUCCUGCUUUUUUGGUUUUUUCCUGUAUUGUACUGUUCCUUCUGUUUAUAACUUGAGUUAUAAUGACCUUAAAAUAUAUUCAUUUUUCACUUCAGUAUGAUUCAUAGGACUGCCUUUUAUGGUCUUAGACAAAAAAACUAAAGAGUUUGGUUGUGCUGUUGUUUUUCUCUAGAAAUACGGAGGUUCCAGAUGCAAUGGAGAUGAUAUUUCAAUCUGCCCUAGCUUUGGGUAGAAAGGGAGUUGUAAGUGUUCUUAUCUUGGUCUAUCCUGGUGUUUUUGUUGAAUCGAAUUCGAACAUAAACAAAGUGACUUUAUUAUAGAAUUUUAGGACAGAAGAAAUCACAUAGUGAUUAGUUUGUACACUUGAAUCAAGUUAAACUUUCUCAGCAUCUCACCCAAAGAAGUAGUGAACGAGAGCACAACUUUCUAGUCCUCUAGCUCUCAUGCUUCAAGUGCCUGAUAGUUGCAGCCACCCGAGUUUCUCUCAAAUCUUCCAGUCGUUCCCUCUUUUAUCUUCUAAAUGUAUUCCUAAACAAUAAUCUCUCAUUCACUGGUGUGUAAUUAUACUCCAGUAAAUGACAGUAGAUGCCUGAUUCAGCGACUUUUUGCCACAGAAAAAUCCAAAUGGAGGAUAUAUACUUGUCUAAUUCUUCUGUUUUUAAACUAAAUAAGGGCAUCAGUCUGACUUGUCUAGUGCACAUACUCGUUUUGAUUCACUCUAUUACUUCUGGUACUGUCAAAAUUUUCAGCAUUGCUCACAGAAUAGUAUAUCAAACACCCAGGAGUUCACAUGUUUUCUUCCUUCCUUUGUUUACAGUAUCACUCUUUAUGGUGUUCUCUUCAUCUUAUUGACAAUUCAGCAGUCCUGUUUGUUUGAAGCUCUUCUAGUUCAACAAAUUUUUGUCUGCUCUACUAAAGGUAAUUUCUGAUAAGUUUGCAUGUGGAGAGAAAUUUUUGUUUUUAUAUUGCAGUUAUAUAUGUCAAACCUUAUUUGCAGGUACAUGCGUUUGUUGCUCCCAAAGUUAUAGAUGGGAAAAAUACACCCUCUCCAGUUAGGGAACUUGGAACGGGAGAGAUAACCCAGGCUCUGGAACUAAUUGAUGUUUGCUAUGAGCAGGUUUGAUAGACUUCUUCUUAAAUUUUUCUGAUUAUGUGCAUAGUAGAUGCAUGUUUCGCUGUUACUUAUCCUCAACCACCCCCUUCACCCCAACAAAAUAAAAGAGGGAAAGAGAAAUGCAUUUAGUGCUGUCUGGUCUCCUUAGUUAUGUAGUGUGUGUACAAGUUACAAACUGUGCAUUUUUCUCCUUUUGGCCUUGUCUGGUGUUUUCUUAUUUGAGUGUUGUGCAUUGUCUUUAGUCUUGGUAUCCUUUCUGAUAAAUCCACUGAAGUAUAAAAAAAACCCUUGGUUUUUCUCAAUGUUCGAUUAAACUCCCUUUUAUAGAUGCUAAUUACACUUAGUCGUUGAAUGUUGUUGAAUAUCAGUAAUUACAAGAAGUACCCAAACUUGUGUAUAAAAGUGGAGCACAAAAAUUGACCUUUUCUAAGAAGAUGAGUCACUCCUAUAGUCCUUUUAGGUUUUUAAGUACUAGCAAACUCAGAAAUUUUAAAAAGUUUUCAUGUUGGUGGAAGACUCUGCAUGUGGAAGUUUCACAAAACAGAACGAUAUCAAAGUCAAAUGAAGUAAAAGGCUGCAGUAGGUUAAUGGCUAGUGUGACAUAGUCUAAGGUUUGAUGAAUCAUUUCAACUGAAUGUACUCAAAGGAUUCAUGCAGCCGACCUUAACUAAUUUGUGAUUGAGGCAUAGAGAAGAUUAUUUAUGUUGAUUCUUACCUUUAAGGGAACUUUAGCUAUCAAAAUGGAAUAAGCUAAAGAAAAAGCAGUCAGAAUUUCAGCUUUGUAACUUCUGUCUCUUUCAAAUAAAUAGCUUAAAAAUAACUCCGUUAGGUUCCUCAUUCAAUGACCAUGUGCCCUAUGCUUGCAUUCCAACUACACUAUCUUUCUUUCUCAAUCUCUCCUUCACUUGGUAAUGCUUACAUUCACUUCUGUUAGUGUGUAAAGGAUUUUGUUUAGGUGUUUUCACGCGCAAACUUUCGCACCCUGUUGCUAUUCCGAAUUUUUGAACUCUUUUUAGCUACUGUUGGGUUUACUAAUAAGCCUGUUUCAUGCAGGUACCAUGGGGGGCCUCGGGGCACAGCGCCUUGAGAUCUAGGGGUGGGUGACGGGCCUCAAGGCACGACUCAUCGAGGUCUGGGGGUGGGUGACGGGCCUCGGGGAAUAGCACCUCGAGUUUUUUUUUUUUUGGGGGGGGGGAGGGGGGCGGGCUCGGGUCACGGCGUCUCGAGGUUGGGGGGUGGGGGACGGGAACAGGCCUCGGGGCACGGCGCCUCAAGGUUCGUGGGGUGCGGGGACAGGCCUUGGGGCAUGGUCCCUCGAGGUUCUAGGGGGUGGAGGGGAUGGGCCUCAAAGCAAGGUGCCUCGAGGCUGGGGAGUGGGGGAGACGGGCGAGGGGCACGACGCCUCAAGGUCCGGGGGUAGGGGGGACGUACUCGAUGCACGACGCCUUGAGGUUAAGGGGGAGGGGAGGACGGGCCUCGAGGUCUGGAGGAUGGGGGGGAGAGGCCUCUGGGCACGACGCCUUGAGGUCCGGGGGGAGGGGUUUCGAGGCACAGCACCUCGAGGUCCGGGGUGGGGGGUGGGCGGAGGGGUCUCGGGGCACGGCGCCUCGAGGUUCGAGGGGAGGGGGGAUGGGCCUCGGGGCACGGCUUCUCGAGGUCCAGGGGUGGGGAGAGGGGCCUUGGGCCACGGUGCCUCGAGGUCCCCGGAGGUGGGAGGAGGGGUCUCGGGCACGGCGCCUCGAGGUCCGAGGGGAUAGGGGGAUGGGCCUCGGGCCACGGCUCCUCGAGGUCCCGGGGGUGAGGAGAGGGGCCUCGAGGCACCACACCUUGAGGUCCGGGAGAGGGGGCGGGGGGGGGGGGGGGGGGGGGGGGGGGCCUCGGGGCGCGGCGCCUCGAGGUCCGGGGGAGGGGUCUCGGGGCGCGGCUUCUCGAGGUCUGGGGAGGGGGAGGGGCCUCGAGGCGCGGCUUCUCGAGGUCCGGGGAGGGGGAGGGGCCUCGGGGCGCGGCUUCUCGAGGUCUGGGGGGGGGCGGGGGGGAGGGGCCUCGAGGUUCGGGGGAGGGGAAGGGGCCUCGAGGUUCGAGGCGCGACACCUCGAGGUCCGGGUGAGGGCGCCUCGAGGGGGAGGGGCCUCAAGGUCUGAGGGGAGGGCCCUCGGGGCGCGGCGCCUCGAGGUCCGGGGGGAGGGGCCUCGGGGCACGACGCCUCGAGGUCCCGGGGGAGGGGCCUCGGGGCACGGUGCCUCGAGGUCCGGGGGAGGGGCCUCGGGGCACGGCGCCUCGAGGUCCAGGGGGAGGGGCCUCGGGGCACGGCGCCUCGAGGUUCAGGGGGAGGGGUCUCGGGGCACGGCGCCUCGUUGGGUGGCGGGAGAGGGGCCUCGGGGCAUGAUGCCUCGAGGUUUGGGGUUGGGUGGUGGGGGUGGGGCCUCGCAUGGCGCCUCGAGAUCUGGGGUUGGGUGGCGCAGGCGGGCCUCGAGGCACGACGCCUAGAGAUCUGGGGUUGGGUGGGGGUGGGGGGGGCAUGACGCCUGGUUUUUCCUUGAGGAAGUUUUAAAUUUGAUGUUUUAUGGUUAUAAAGUAGGUGCCGUGUUGGGCAAACAUUUUAAAGAAGUGGUUUAAGGUCCCUUUUCCUUGUAUUUUCUUGACAUGAACGGGAUCAAGAAAAUGCUUGAGGGUUUUUUAGUUGACAGCUAUUGCUACAUAUAGAUAGUGUGAUGCUUAGGUAUACAGAACUCUGGAGGAUCCCAUUUACACAAACAGUGUGAAAUAUCUCCUAGUGGACAGAGAUGAUGCAUCCACUUUCACAUUUAUGACGAAAAUCUAGGUGCAUCGGUUAGCCAGCCACAUUGGAAGCAUUUAGUGUUUGUUGGAAAAAGGCACCGACCAAUGUAGAGUAGGAAAUACAGAGCUUUAUUGACUUUUGCAAAGUACUGAUAAUUGCCUUUAGUUGCUGAGGCAGACUGAAUGAUUGAGAACUAGUUGAACUCUCCUAACUAAAUAAACUGUGUUUCUUGUCUGAUGCGGGUUGUGCUCAAGUGGUGGCUUGAUUUGGCUGGCAUGUGUCUUAUCUCCUUACAUUACAAAUUCCUUUAAGCUGUUACGUUUCUCAUGUUGAGGUUGAUGGUUUUAUAGUUAACAACUGUUGUUAAGUUUAGCCAAUAAAUGUAAUCAUGUCAAAAAUAUUCCACAUGAAAAUUCUGGAGGAUCCCAUUUACACCAACAGAGUAAAGUAUCUCUGUGGUUGAUGAAGAUAAAUCUGUAGGUGCAUGUGUGUAAUCAGCCAUGUUGAAAUUGUUUACUGAUGGAAAAUGAACAUUGACCUAUGUAGACUGGAAAUGCAGAGCUUAAUUGGCUUUCCAAUAUACUUUUUAUAGCAUUUGCUAAGGUAAUCUGAAUAGUUGAGAAUUAGUCAAGUCCUCCCAACUAAAUAAACCAACUCUUCUCCUUGUCUAAUGUGAGUUGUGGUAAUUUGGUAGCUUGAUUUAUCUGGCUUGUGGUUAUUCUUGAAUAGAGAUGAUGACAGAGAGGAUCGGAAGGCAGGACAAGGAGGAGGACAGAUUCUUCUCUCGUUUGAUCGGGGGAAUAAUGAGUUACAUGACUUCACUGUUCUCCUUCGAAGAACAAAUCUAAAUAAGUUGUUAAUAGUAAGUCUUUAACCAAGUUAACUAAGAGAAAUGAGAUUCCAAUUAUGUUUUCUUAGUAAUUAUACUACUUUAAUCCAUUAAAAUUAAUAUCUUAAGAGAAAUCUAUUUAUUUAAUCAAAGAUAAUUUAAAAGUAUAUAGAUAAAUGAGAAGGGACAUCCAAAUUUGUUCCGUUUCCAUGAACCGAAAACUUAUCCAUGAUUAAGUUACACCACCUGGAUAGUGGCAAUUAGAGCUGAUAGUUGGAAACAAAUCAGAAAACUUGAUAAAAAAUGAGGUGUUUUCUUAAAUUUGUAACCUUUUAAGUUCCUUUUUGAUGUUUAGUUAAUGCUUAUGCUAAAGACAUUUUAAGCUUCUGUCUAGAUUGUGAAACUGGUGAACACUUGACAGUUUAAGAAUUCAGAUGUUUGGGAUGAAACGUUUUAUUGAAAUGUUAUCAUUUGAAGAAGUUAACCUGAUAAAUCAUGCUAGAUAAUUGCUCAGUCACCUCUCACUUCUCUGAAAAAAGACGUUGACCAUUGAAUGUCUUAUAUCUAACUUGAGGAUGUGAAAAAAGUUCAUCUGCAAGUCCCCCUUCCUUCAUUUGGGAAUUUCGUUUUUUUGAAAUUGAGUAUAUUUAGCGGAUUUGCCUUUUGCUCAAUAUAACUUCUCCCUUGCCAAAAUGAUUAAUUCUAGUUUUUAUUUUUCUUUGGUUGUGUGUCAGAUUAGUCUUGACAGACUUUUUUUUUUGCAGGAUGUCAAAUCCCCAG